GACGAACGCUGGCGGCGUGCUUAACACAUGCAAGUCGAACGGAAAGGCCCUGCUUUUGUGGGGUGCUCGAGUGGCGAACGGGUGAGUAACACGUGAGUAACCUGCCCUUGACUUUGGGAUAACUUCAGGAAACUGGGGCUAAUACCGGAUAGGAGCUCCUGCUGCAUGGUGGGGGUUGGAAAGUUUCGGCGGUUGGGGAUGGACUCGCGGCUUAUCAGCUUGUUGGUGGGGUAGUGGCUUACCAAGGCUUUGACGGGUAGCCGGCCUGAGAGGGUGACCGGCCACAUUGGGACUGAGAUACGGCACAGCCUCCUACGGGAGGCAGCAGUGGGGAAUAUUGCACAAUGGGCGGAAGCCUGAUGCAGCAACGCCGCGUGCGGGAUGACGGCCUUCGGGUUGUAAACCGCUUUCGCCUGUGACGAAGCGUGAGUGACGGUAAUGGGUAAAGAAGCACCGGCUAACUACGUG
This 468-nucleotide ribosomal RNA is filed under the name uncultured bacterium. Its description in RNAcentral is "partial 16S ribosomal RNA". It matches the Rfam family "Bacterial small subunit ribosomal RNA", at positions 28 to 507 of the family's 1533-position model. The record is from RNAcentral.